RNAcentral lists this ribosomal RNA (465 nucleotides) under uncultured bacterium. RNAcentral describes it as "partial 16S ribosomal RNA". It matches the Rfam family "Bacterial small subunit ribosomal RNA", at positions 28 to 507 of the family's 1533-position model. The record is from RNAcentral.
GACGAACGCUGGCGGCGUGCUUAACACAUGCAAGUCGAACGGAAAGGCCCCUUUGGGGGUACUCGAGUGGCGAACGGGUGAGUAACACGUGAGUAACCUGCCCUUGACUUCGGGAUAACUUCAGGAAACUGGGGCUAAUACCGGAUAGGAAUCCUUGCUGCAUGGUGGGGGUUGGAAAGCUUCGGCGGGUUUGGAUGGACUCGCGGCUUAUCAGCUUGUUGGUGGGGUAGUGGCUUACCAAGGCUUUGACGGGUAGCCGGCCUGAGAGGGCGACCGGCCACAUUGGGACUGAGAUACGGCCCAGACUCCUACGGGAGGCAGCAGGGGGGAAUAUUGCACAAUGGGCGGAAGCCUGAUGCAGCAACGCCGCGUGCGGGAUGACGGCCUUCGGGUUGUAAACCGCUUUCAGCAGGGGCGAAGCUUGUGGUGACGGUACCUGCAGAAGAAGCACCGGCUAACUACGUG